This 110-nucleotide ribosomal RNA is filed under the name Candidatus Gallimonas merdigallinarum. Lineage: Bacteria; Bacillati; Bacillota; Clostridia. The record is from RNAcentral.
UGGUGACGAUAGCAGAGAGGAUCCACCUGUUCCCAUUCCGAACACAGAAGUUAAGCUCUCUUACGCCCAAAGUACUUGGUCUAACGACCCGGGAGGAUAGGUAGUUGCCA